UUCAACAGUCAAGCAACUCAUCCAUCCAUCCACUUCCAUUGUUGUCCAUCAUGUUUUAAGUCUGUACUAGUUAGGCCCUCAAUGGAACAUUCUGUGAAAAGGAAACUGUCGAAAGUUAUGAUCUUUGAUCUUCCAACACAUUUCCUCUACCGAUUAAACGUCUUCUAUCUUCGUUGGCUGCUAUUGUGGCUUUUGGAGGGGGUUUCUCAAUCCAAACCCUUGGUUCCAUCCACUAUUUCCCUUUCUCAGCCAGAGCAUGCGUCAAGUGGUUUGCCUUCCUUCCGACAAAAUAGCAAGUAAAUAGUUCAAAUCUUUAUGCCCUUUUUUUUUAUUUCUUGUACGAUCGCUGCAAUGCUGGACUUAUCCUCAGAUUUUGACUGGAUUUUUUUAUGACGGUAAAUGAGUCCCCCUCUAUUGCAUCGGCUACAAAAUGACUCUGCCAUCAAUCCCGAGCCCUUGCAAAGUAUCUCUGGCUGUUGUGCAUUCCUAAAAGAUGUGGCUAAUCGGUUCCUUCUCAGAUUUGCAAAAGGUGCAAAUGUCCACCACUGACAGCUUUCUAGAUUAGAAAUUGCUUAGAGUAGGGAUAUAGUUGUGUAUUAAUCGCUAAAUUGUAAUUUUUAUUUUGCUUGCCACCUUCAGGUUCCAUAAUCUGUUGUAAGAUUUCUUUUGAUUUAUCGUUUGUGUUGAGUCUUCCCUUUGA
Gossypium raimondii (Peruvian cotton) is the source of this 700-nucleotide long non-coding RNA. RefSeq lists it as uncharacterized. Lineage: Eukaryota; Viridiplantae; Streptophyta; Magnoliopsida; Malvales; Malvaceae. The record is from RefSeq and is a predicted model, not a curated record. The transcript is spliced from 2 exons.